This 3591-nucleotide long non-coding RNA is filed under the name Sus scrofa (pig). RNAcentral describes it as "lncRNA (ENSSSCG00050078373.1)". The record is from RNAcentral. Lineage: Eukaryota; Metazoa; Chordata; Mammalia; Artiodactyla; Suidae.
UUAAUGGAUACAAACUAUUGCCUUUGAAGUGGAUUAGUGGUGAGAUCCUGCUGUGUAGUACUGGCAACUAUGUCUAGUCACUUAUGAUGGAGCAGGAGAAUGUGCGAAAAUAGAACGUGUACCUGUAUGUGCAACUGGGUCACCAUGCUGUAUAGUAGGAAAAAAAAUUGUAUUGGGGAAAUAACUAUUUAAAAAAUAUUUUCAAGUAUUCUCAAGAAAUAUUGAGAAAUUCAAUCUUCUUAAGGAAUUUUCAUUUUAUCUAAGUUUCCCAAAGUUAUUUUAGUACAAGGUGAUUUACUAAACCACCAGUGAUUGUGAUGACCAGGUAAUUGAUGAUCUAUGUGUGACAAGAGCUAAUCAGGCACCUAAUUCUGCCAGGCACCAAAUGCUACGUAAAUUGUAAACUGCAUUGUUUGAUUCAAAACUGAGCUUGUAAGAACUGAACAUUUUCUGUUUCUUCACUGAUGAAAAAGAGUCAAUCUACAUGGAAAGCUAAUUUACUGUUAUUGUUAAAUCAUUUUUAUUGCCCAACAGCUUGUUGUGUUCAGUGGUCAAAAAACAAUGAAUAGUUGAUGAGUUCCUGUAAUUCAGAAACUGUUAAAUGUUGCUUUGGAAUGUAGUUCUUUAGCCUCCAUUCUAAAGUGAGUUAAAUGUCCUGGAAAUUCACAUUCCAAGUGAAAUGAGAUGUUGUGAAAGUUUUACUUGGGUGCUUAAGCUAGAGAGCUCUCUGACCUCCCUUUCCCUGUUUUUCAGGGUAGGUAAGUGUUUCUACAGUUUAAAGCAAGGAAUCUAACUGAAUUUUUACCCAUGAAGAUUUACUAUUUCAAGUAUAUUGGAAUCAGCAUCAUUUUAAGCGUUAAAAAGAAGAUAAAGAUCCCAUAGUUUGAGUCAAUUUAGCAAAUCUCAGUAGACCCAGUUUAUGGCUACAUAAUACCAGUACAUUUCAUAGACAAGAAUUCAGGUGCAUUUUCGUACAAGUUAAAAUCUCUUUUCGUGGAUGCCUUAUGUUAACCUCACGAAUAGGACCGCCCUUUCAUUCCAGUGAAAAGUAGGAAUGGUUUCUUGGCUUCUCCGGUUCUACUUUGAAAUUUUUUUUUCUCCUCUUUUUUCAAAAAUUUAGUUUUAUUAUUUUAUCCAGGAUGAUUAGGCUCAGGAGAAUUUAUUUACGGCGUCCUCUCCCAAACAUGUAAGCCAGACGGAGUGGGGGUGGAUUGGGGUCGGGGCGCGGGCCCGGGCAUUCCAACCCCAGGGCUCAACCUGAAUCAAGGCCUUGAGGAGCUGAAAGAAGGUACCUCUGACUGGGCCUCCUGGAGACGACCACCGGGUUCCCUUUCGCAGAGUUGCAGAUAGCAGGAAUUGUGAGGGAAGGUGGGGUAGAGUGCCCCCAGACUCACUCUUUGCUUGGAGACCCUCAGACGUUCAGGACUUCCCUCGUCGUCGCGUGUUGAUCUGUCUCUUGAUAGAACGCCGCCGUCUGUCUGUCCCAGGGCAGCGUCCCUCUCCAUUCCCACGAAUCCCAUCUUCCACUCCCUCUCUUGCCUUCCUCUCAUUUUUUUCUAUGCUGAGCAGUUGAAAGAUUGUUGAGUUAAAUUCAGAUGUGACUUCUCCAAAUUGAUAAUCAUCUAAGCAACAUAAAUGGCCAUCAGUUUGACUGAAAACUUUUUUUUAACUUGAAAUUACAUGCGCAGAAGAGCUUUUGUAGUUUGCAUUGGCCUCACGGGAAGUGAUGACGGUCGUUCUACCUGACCGAUAGUCUUGUUUUGAUUUGUUUUGACUCAAAAGCAAUUAAAAAAUAUAUAAUUGAUUAGGUUGAUGUCAGUGCCUUCCCUUGGGAAUUUUAUUACAUAACGGGAACGCCAUCUCAUACCACAGCAUGAGGGGUCCUGAUGAACAGUUUUAUAUGUAUCAUAUUUUAAGUUAUAAAUAUGCGUCUUGUUUUUAAGCUCUUGUACUACUUCACAGGCAGAGGUUCUUUUAAGGUAUUUUAUAGAUUAACUUAGCUUGGCUUCAAAGAAGUAAAAAGGCCUUUCAUUAAUAAAAUAUUCAAAUAAUUGAUACAUAGUAUUUUAGAAGAAACUAGCUCACAUCUGUAGGAAUUACCAUAUAUUUACUGAGUGGAGCUGUAAUUGUUGAUAUUAUUUAUCUGCAUAAACCUGAGAAGAGUCUUACUUUAAGAACUGUUAACUACCGACCAACCUGUGUCGCCAGAUGUUCAUCUGGGUGAUUGCUUUUGAGAGUCCUUCUAUAGGAAAUGAGGGGAAUUCAGUGUUUGCAUCGUCCCUUGAUGUCCCAGUCCUAAGAUGUGCUUAACUGCAUACUGAGGCAGAGAGACUCCUGCUUCUAGUCGGGGAACAAGAUUGUCACACAGAUAGAAGCAUAGGAAGCAGUCCAGGCUUAGCCGUUAACCUAACAGGUCAAUAACCUAGUCUUUAUCUUCAUGUGAAAACCAGGCACAAUAUUCAUGUUAAUAUGGUAGCUCAGACUUAAUUUUACUUUUCAGAGCACCUUACUAAAUAAUAGUAUUUAUAUAAACUGUGGCAUACCGCUGACACGAAAGAUCCCGAGCCUAACAGAGUAAGUAAAUGCUGAGAUGUUUAAGCGUUGGAAUAUCCACACGUCCGUAUUGCCCCCUCAGCAUCGUUAUCCAUUCCCGUUCUGCAUACUGCCUGGUCAUUUGAUAAAGUGCUCAGAAAGCUCGAGUCUGGAUUUGGAUCUUGGUGCUGACUUUUCUAGUCUACAUUUCUACCUGCAUCUUCAAACUGCAGACCCUGAAAUACUAGUCAACACAUGCUGGUUCAAUACCUGCUCUGUGCCAGACACUGUUCUAGGCACUGGAGGUGUUUCUGGCAGUGUGUGAGUAGGCUUAGCCACUUAAGUUUCGGGGUAUAUUGCUGUUAGUUUUAAUUUUGAACUAGAGCGUCUUUCCAUAUGCAUUCUUUCGCUGCUACGGUCAGUUAGUUUAACUGUAAGAGGUGAUAAAUUCUUAGAUGUAUGUGUUUCUAGACUUACCCUGACAGUUGGCACAUUCUCCCCUUCCCCCACAUAAAAGGGUGAUUAGGUUCCCUCCAGGAAGGUUUUAAAAUCUCAUUUUGUAGCCCAAAGCCCCUUUCAGACUUCACCAUAAAUUAUAAACUGAAUGCUUUCCGGGGCCAGCCAGUAUCGUAAAUGUAUGAAGCAGGCCAGGGUGAGUAAUUGAGAUAGGUAGAGUAUGUGUUCCUGCCUAGCCAUAAACAUUUUAAAAUAUUUUUUUUUAACUGUGUCAAAUACAUCUGCAGGCCAUGAGUUUUCAACAUUCUGGAAUCUGGAGAGACGUAAAUUCCACUGACUUUGAAAUAUGAAAUUGAGGAGUUCCCGUCGUGGCGCAGUGGUUAAUGAAUCCGACUAGGAACCAUGAGGUUGCGGGUUCAGUCCCUGCCCUUGCUUAGUGGGUUAAGGAUCCGGCAUUGCCGUGAGCUGUGGUGUAGAUCACAGACACGGCUCGGAUCCCGCAUUGCUGUGGCUCUGGCUUAGGCUGGGGGCUACAGCUCGGAUUUGACCCCUAGCCUGGGAACCUCCAUAUGCUGUGGGAACGGCCCAAGAAAUGGCAAAAAA